CAAUGAUGUCUAUGGGUUCAUUGAUCCCCAAGUCACUCACGAAGCAAAUAAUUUUGAUGACAUCACAACAUAUAUCACCAGCCGCUUUGCAAUGGGGAAUGACAUAUAUUUUAUUCCUUAUAUAUCUGGAGAGCUAUGUUGUGUGGUUCUCCUCAUUGCACAAGUCUCCUCCCAAACAUCUCAGACAAGCAGUUGAUUGGCAAGAACCUCAAUGUUUGGAGUUUCUUUGUUAUAUAAAUGAAUGCUAAAGCCUUUUUUUAUAGUUCCAUUGCAGCACGUAUGAUGUUGGUUGGGAGAUCAACUGCUACAGUAGAAAGCUUGCAUAGGUUGCUCUCAAGUGUAACAGACAAAGUGGAUCAUAUGAGUGUGGAUAAUACGCAAUGUAUUGGAUGACACACAUUAUUCGUCCCUAUAUCACAAGAGGCUGGGAAAUGAGAUUCAAGACUCCUACUUCACUUUCUGAGAAGUCACUUACAUACCUAAGGAAGGCACUUGCAAAACAUUUAAUUAGAUUAAUUACAGGGGAACCGAAGCAGAAACCUUGGACAUAUUACCUCGGUUGGAACCGAGACCAAAAGUCCCCCACCAUUUAAUCUCAAUUCACCAUUUCAAUUUUAUAUAAAAAUACCAAAAAUAUUAUUAUUGAGAAGAAAUGCAUAAGUUUC
Long non-coding RNA from Vigna angularis (adzuki bean), 665 nucleotides. RefSeq lists it as uncharacterized. Lineage: Eukaryota; Viridiplantae; Streptophyta; Magnoliopsida; Fabales; Fabaceae. The transcript has 4 exons. The record is from RefSeq and is a predicted model, not a curated record.